GUUUUCCCAACUUUCAUAUGUGUAUAAAGGACACAAUAAUUGAGAACAUAACUAGUGCCAACAACAAACACAUAUUUUAAUAAAAUAAACUCACCAAGAUAAUAAGUUCUCAUGAUUGUAUCUUGAAUGGUUAAAGUCUGAUCUGUUGGAUGUAAAUACCUAUCCUAAAUUGUAGAAGUAUUCCAGGAAAAAAAAACAUUUUUAAAAAAAUCAAAUGUGCCAUAUUAAUGUUUCUUCUGCAAUUUUUUUUGUUAAUUGAAUUUGUUAAAAAAACAAGUUUUCCCAACUUUCAUAUGUGUAUAAAGGACGCAAUAAUUGAGAAUAUAAUUAGUGCCAACAAGAAACACAUAUUUUAAUAAAAUAAACUCACCAAGAUAAUAAGUUCUCAUGAUUGUAUCUUGAAUGGUUCAAGUCUGAUCUGUUGGAUGUAUAUAACUAUCCUAAACUGUAGAAGUAUUCCAGGAA
This 465-nucleotide long non-coding RNA is filed under the name Mytilus galloprovincialis (Mediterranean mussel). The record is from RNAcentral. Lineage: Eukaryota; Metazoa; Mollusca; Bivalvia; Mytilida; Mytilidae.